Molecule: ribosomal RNA, 293 nt
Filed under: Clostridium sp. MD294
Lineage: Bacteria; Bacillati; Bacillota; Clostridia; Eubacteriales; Clostridiaceae
Description: partial 16S ribosomal RNA
Rfam family: Bacterial small subunit ribosomal RNA
Source: RNAcentral
UUAAUAUAAGAGUUUGAUCCUGGCUCAGGAUGAACGCUGGCGGCGUGCUUAACACAUGCAAGUCGAGCGAAAAUAAUUAGGAGCUUGCUUUUAAUUAUUUUAGCGGCGGACGGGUGAGUAACGUGUGGGCAACCUGCCUUUUACUGUGGAAUAAUCACUGGAAACGGUGACUAAUACCGCAUACGGUUCUUAGGAGGCAUCUUCUAAGAAAGAAAGGAUUUAUUCGGUAAAAGAUGGGCCCGCAUCUGAUUAGCUAGUUGGUGAGAUAAUAGCCCACCAAGGCAACGAUCAGU